Molecule: long non-coding RNA, 218 nt
Filed under: Elaeis guineensis (African oil palm)
Lineage: Eukaryota; Viridiplantae; Streptophyta; Magnoliopsida; Arecales; Arecaceae
Description: long non-coding RNA (EGUI_LNC033544)
Source: RNAcentral
AGCACAUCUGAGGAGAUUGAAUGUAUGAGCAGGAUCUCCUAUGUUUCAGCUAUAAGGAGCCUCAUGUACAUCAUAUUAUAUACUCGAUCUGAAUUAUCUUUGCUGUAAACAUCACAAGCAGGUAGCAGUCAAAUCCAAGUGAAAAGCACUAGAUAGCUGUGAAGAACAUCUUUAAGUACUUGAGAAGAACUAAAGAUUUGUUCUUAAUUUUUUGGGGA